UCAAAGAACAACCAGAGCAUCCAUUCUGGUGGAUGAGCCAACCACAUGGCCAGCUUCUGGGUGUGGGCACAGUGCCACAUCUUCCAUCACUUUCUGAUAUAUCCCAACACCACUGAAGAGACAGCCUGGAGAGAGUGCAAGAGGAAGGCUGAGAAGGAUGAGAUGGUGAGUGCUGGCUUCUUUCUGACCCUCAGCACACCCCCACGUGGUGACCAUCAACCUUUAGGGGUGGGAGAGCAAGACUGAUGGCUUCAAAUACUUCCCCAAGAAGAUGGGCACAGGCCACUCAGCUCAACCUCACAGGCAAUGAGUUGACAUGCAAGCAGAUGACAGUGACAGGCUUUUAGAAAGAGCUUCAGAAGGCGGCCAGUUUUUCUUCAGCCUCAGCCAGGCCUUGGAACUUGACUAGGCCAUCCACUUCACCAGAGAUGCCUUCAAGAACAUCAGUGAGCUCCUUGCCAAUCCGUCCAGGAAGGACCUGGACCCAGCCACGGACCUGUUAGUGCUGUCUCAGGGACACCAGACCAACAUCCUGGACAUCAUCCUCAUACACAAG
Molecule: long non-coding RNA, 556 nt
Filed under: Homo sapiens (human)
Lineage: Eukaryota; Metazoa; Chordata; Mammalia; Primates; Hominidae
Description: non-protein coding lnc-OCIAD2-4:1
Source: RNAcentral